RNAcentral lists this non-coding RNA (45 nucleotides) under Schistosoma mansoni. The record is from RNAcentral. Lineage: Eukaryota; Metazoa; Platyhelminthes; Trematoda; Strigeidida; Schistosomatidae.
AUCCAGCUGACGAGUCUCAAAUAGGACUAAACAAGUGUUCUGGAU